GGCCCCGUCGUCUAGUGGCCUAGGACGUCAGGUUCUCAUCCUGAAAAUCACGAGUUCGAAUCUCGUCGGGGUCA
This 74-nucleotide transfer RNA is filed under the name Candidatus Woesebacteria bacterium. RNAcentral describes it as "tRNA-Glu". It matches the Rfam family "tRNA". From Rfam's summary of the family: Transfer RNA (tRNA) molecules are approximately 80 nucleotides in length. Their secondary structure includes four short double-helical elements and three loops (D, anti-codon, and T loops). Further hydrogen bonds mediate the characteristic L-shaped molecular structure. tRNAs have two regions of fundamental functional importance: the anti-codon, which is responsible for specific mRNA codon recognition, and the 3' end, to which the tRNAs corresponding amino acid is attached (by aminoacyl-tRNA synthetases). tRNAs cope with the degeneracy of the genetic code in two manners: having more than one tRNA (with a specific anti-codon) for a particular amino acid; and 'wobble' base-pairing, i.e. permitting non-standard base-pairing at the 3rd anti-codon position. Lineage: Bacteria; Candidatus Woeseibacteriota. The record is from RNAcentral.